Molecule: long non-coding RNA, 1423 nt
Filed under: Nicotiana benthamiana
Lineage: Eukaryota; Viridiplantae; Streptophyta; Magnoliopsida; Solanales; Solanaceae
Description: long non-coding RNA (NBEN_LNC009261)
Source: RNAcentral
AAUGAAGCGGAAAACAUAAUCAAAAGUAAUAACAGCCCAAGGGAUCCGGCGUCACAAGUCAGAGCCUCAAGAUACAACAGAACAGUAUCCUAAACAAGGAAAAUCUAGAUGCAGAAAUAAAAGAUAGAUAAGAGGAGAAAUCAGAUCCUACGGACGCCAGCAACUACCUCGAUAUCUCCAGAACCGAACUAGGCAACAGUAGAUAAGCAUAGCUAAGCCUCCGGGAUCCCUGUAUUUGCACACAAGGUGCAGGGAGUAGAAUGAAUACUUCCAACUCAGUGAGUAGUAAUAAUAAAUAACAACUGAAUGUAAGCAAUCCGAUAAGAACACUAUACAGUUCUAAUAUCAACAGUAACGUCAUUGAAUAAUGCUAAACAGGGGAGAGAAUCUGAUAAAUACUUCUCUUUCAGUCCGACUAGUUAUUAACACUGCUGCGGCUCACAACCCGAUCCAAUUCCAUAUAUAUAAUGUUGCGGCGCACAACCCAAUCUAAUAUAGUAUAUUUAAUGCUGCGACGUGCACCCCAAUCCAAUAUAAUAUAUAUAAUGCUGCGGCGCAUAGCCAGAUCCAAUAAUAUAGUCUAAUGCGCUUACUGGGGGUGUGUGCAGACUCCGGAGGGGCUUAUUCAGCCAAGCACUAUAAUAUUGCGGCGUGUAGUCCGAUCCAUAUAAUAUAUCACUGCGGCGUGCAGCCAGAUCCAUAUAAUAUAUUACUGCGGCGUGCAAUCUGAUCCAUAGAAUAUAUAUAAUGAGACAGCGCGCAACCCGAUCCAAUAUAAUAUAUCAAAUACCCUCACUACGGGGUCCUUGACCCCUCUCAGUCAAUAUAGACUUGGCCUCUCGGGCCCACACAACUAAGAGAGGGUAUUCAACCUUAGGUGUUGCUCAUUUAGGGUGCAAGUUACUACGUCGAGUAGCUUUCAUAAUUUACAGUCAAAGUCAGGACAGAUGGUAUGUGUUCAAUAGGUAAAAUGGGGUCAAUCGGCUCAACAUGCUUCCUAGGAGUUCUACAAAUCGGCAUAAGGCCUCAAAAAUGGCAACUAGCCCAAAUAUAUAUAAGUACAAGCUCAGUCUCAGUCAAAAAGUGCAGUAAGCCAUCAAUCGGGAUGGACCAAGCCCGAGCCCCCAGCAUAAACGUCACCACGCUCAUCGUAUGACGCGUGUUUUAUCUCAACAUAGCACCACAUAGUUCAAAUACGGGGUUUCAAACCCUCAGUAUAUCAGUCAUAACCAUUACUCACCUCAAACCAGCCAAAUUCUAGCUCGCCUUGCGCUUUCCUCGCAAAUCGACCUCCUCGGAUGCAGAAUCUGACCAAAACCACAAGAAAUAUGUUAUAAUAGGCUAAUGGGACAUAACACAAUCGAAAGAACUCGAAAAACACCAAAAAUACAAAGUACACUUCUCGAAAAAUUAUAAAAUUCAC